RNAcentral lists this ribosomal RNA (445 nucleotides) under uncultured bacterium. RNAcentral's name for it is "partial 16S ribosomal RNA". It matches the Rfam family "Bacterial small subunit ribosomal RNA", at positions 354 to 796 of the family's 1533-position model. The record is from RNAcentral.
GUGAGGAAUAUUGGUCAAUGGGCGCAAGCCUGAACCAGCCAUGCCGCGUGCAGGAAGACGGUCCUAUGGAUUGUAAACUGCUUUUAUUUGGGAAUAAACUCCGGUACGUGUACCGGCCUGAAGGUACCAAAUGAAUAAGCACCGGCUAACUCCGUGCCAGCAGCCGCGGUAAUACGGAGGGUGCAAGCGUUAUCCGGAAUCAUUGGGUUUCAAGGGUCCGCAGGCGGUCUUAUAAGUCAGUGGUGAAAGCCUACAGCUCAACUGUAGAACUGCCAUUGAUACUGUAGGACUUGAAUUCGAUCGAAGUGGGCGGAAUGUGACAUGUAGCGGUGAAAUGCUUAGAUAUGUCACAGAACACCGAUAGCGAAGGCAGCUCACUAGGUCUGGAUUGACGCUCAGGGACGAAAGCGUGGGGAGCAAACAGGAUUAGAAACCCUUGUAGUCC